Molecule: long non-coding RNA, 310 nt
Filed under: Pan troglodytes (chimpanzee)
Lineage: Eukaryota; Metazoa; Chordata; Mammalia; Primates; Hominidae
Description: long non-coding RNA NONPTRT002915
Source: RNAcentral
UAGAGAGAAGGAGGAGAGAGAGGAAGUGGGAGAGGAUGUAGUAGUUUCCCCUGUCUACUUUCUCUACCUUCUUUUCUCCUCUACCCUCCCUUUCCAAGCUCAACUUCCUUGACAGUAUUAAGGAAAUACCUUUUUUAGUUACCAAAAUAAGUUGCUCUGUGGAGAAUUUCUGAUGAUCUCAUGGUGAUUAUCCUGCACCCGGAAGACACUUUGCUUUGCUUUGGGACCAUGGAUAUUCCUUGGGGCAGCCACCAAGGAUGAAUAAGGUUUGAACGGGGAGGCACUGGCCUCGGGGCUCCUUGCUGCUGAC